AUUUGAGAUCCGUGCUACUAAACUAAGCCACUCUGUAAGUUUAUUACCCACAAGUGCCCUUCUAAAAGAGAUGUUUAGGGGGCUAGUAGUCAACACUUGACCAUUGCAAAGGAUACACUUAUAUAUAGUCCUCGAAGUCCAUAUUUCUUCUUCUAAGCAAUCCUCUGGUGCUGAGCCUAUCCUUCAAGAGAUGCCAGAAAAAGACUCGGUGUUUGUUCUGACAGGCACUCCUCCAAAGCCAUCUGAAGGCUAGGUGAAUUUGGGAAUGUCCACUCAAUUGUGCAUAAGCCUUUCUUGUGGAGAAAACAGCAGACCCCCACGAAUAAGACCAAACAUCAUGGAGUUCAGAGAUGUGUACUGAUUGUAAGAUACUUUGCAAGUGUAAAGGAUGAAGAGCAGUAGAUUAACGGAAUGUAGUCCUAGCUUGCACCACUGUACUAACAGAAAGCACGUGAACCACACUCUGUGUACAUAUGUUAUUCUCUCAAAUUUUCAGGUCAAGAGCUUUUACAAUUGACAAGUGAGAACACAUAGUGGAUGUGUACCCAUGUAUUGUCUGAAAAGUGUGUCAAUGAGAUAAUUAAACAUUGGGUUUGUGUGAUUUAAACUAACUAAGAUGUCGAGUUGGUGUGGUGCAACAUGUAUCUUGGCUUGUGAAUGUGCAUGUGUUGAGUGCAUCAAAGUGAUCGACGGCAAUGGAGAAGGUCAAAUGAGGAGUUUGGGCUAAUGACCAUGCGGGUGAUAAAGACCGAACAUGCAUGGAGGCUUGAAUCGAGGGACCAAGAAGCUGGAGAAUGGACCAAGGAUAACUAGCACAUAUAUGCAAGAUAUGGCGAUGAGGACGGCAUUGACUGAAGUCAAGGCCAGGGUUGGACCAAGUCAAGGCGAGGUGUCACGAGCACUUGGUGGACUAUCGGAUUGAGGACAUAGAGGACAUGUCGAUAUCAAACUUUGUAGUGGCUAUGCAGCCUAAAAGGUUUGGAUUUCGGCCUCAAAGUCAUGGCCAUGGUAAUUUCUAGGGUUGGCCUCAAAAUCUUAGGAUAAGGGGUGGCACGUGGCAAUAUCUCCAAGAUAACAUUGAGGCUAAGUAAAUAGGUGGAGAAAUCGUGACCGUCGAAUGUGUAUUGGAUGUUUCAUUUAUGUAGUAUUGACCUUAUUGCCCCCAAGUGGGUUAGUAAGCUUAUUAUCAACUAAGAGCAGUUUGGGGAUUGUCCUAACAUUCUUUGCUUAGGCUAACCAAGUGUUCAUUGCAAGGGAAAUUAGAGCCAUAUGAAGAAUUUGCAUCAUGGAGGUGCCCAUGAGAUUUUGAUUAUGUUUCCAGCUGAUUGUAUCUCAUGUGCUGAUUUGGCCGCGUAUGCCCUGAAGUUAUCUAGGGUCCAAAUGAUCCUAUAUUUGUCCUCAUCUUCUGGGUUAAGAUUGGCUUCUUGGACAACACCCACAUAAAGCUAGAGCAAUCUGAUAGUACUUCUGCAUUAAGGUAGUUCACAUGUCACACACUCCACAAGCUAAUAAGCAGCUUUGGUUCUAAAGCCCACCUAUAUCUUGCAGCGUGUAUUGAGUAAGGUCAUAAUAGUUUUUUAUUGCCACCAACUAGUUGGUUAAUUUGAAAAAAGAAAGAAAGAAGUGGAA
Molecule: long non-coding RNA, 1629 nt
Filed under: Sorghum bicolor (sorghum)
Lineage: Eukaryota; Viridiplantae; Streptophyta; Magnoliopsida; Poales; Poaceae
Description: long non-coding RNA (SBIC_LNC015121)
Source: RNAcentral